RNAcentral lists this ribosomal RNA (1096 nucleotides) under uncultured bacterium. RNAcentral's name for it is "bacterial SSU rRNA". It matches the Rfam family "Bacterial small subunit ribosomal RNA", at positions 72 to 1162 of the family's 1533-position model. The record is from RNAcentral.
GAAGCAGCUUGCUGCUUCGCUGACGAGUGGCGGACGGGUGAGUAAUGUCUGGGAAGCUGCCUGAUGGAGGGGGAUAACUACUGGAAACGGUAGCUAAUACCGCAUAAUGUCGCAAGACCAAAGAGGGGGACCUUCGGGCCUCUUGCCAUCGGAUGUGCCCAGAUGGGAUUAGCUUGUUGGUGGGGUAACGGCUCACCAAGGCGACGAUCCCUAGCUGGUCUGAGAGGAUGACCAGCCACGCUGGAACUGAGACACGGUCCAGACUCCUACGGGAGGCAGCAGUGGGGAAUAUUGCACAAUGGGCGCAAGCCUGAUGCAGCCAUGCCGCGUGUAUGAAGAAGGCCUUCGGGUUGUAAAGUACUUUCAGCGGGGAGGAAGGGAGUAAAGUUAAUACCUUUGCUCAUUGACGUUACCCGCAGAAGAAGCACCGGCUAACUCCGUGCCAGCAGCCGCGGUAAUACGGAGGGUGCAAGCGUUAAUCGGAAUUACUGGGCGUAAAGCGCACGCAGGCGGUUUGUUAAGUCAGAUGUGAAAUCCCCGGGCUCAACCUGGGAACUGCAUCUGAUACUGGCAAGCUUGAGUCUCGUAGAGGGGGGUAGAAUUCCAGGUGUAGCGGUGAAAUGCGUAGAGAUCUGGAGGAAUACCGGUGGCGAAGGCGGCCCCCUGGACGAAGACUGACGCUCAGGUGCGAAAGCGUGGGGAGCAAACAGGAUUAGAUACCCUGGUAGUCCACGCCGUAAACGAUGUCGACUUGGAGGUUGUGCCCUUGAGGCGUGGCUUCCGGAGCUAACGCGUUAAGUCGACCGCCUGGGGAGUACGGCCGCAAGGUUAAAACUCAAAUGAAUUGACGGGGGCCCGCACAAGCGGUGGAGCAUGUGGUUUAAUUCGAUGCAACGCGAAGAACCUUACCUGGUCUUGACAUCCACGGAAGUUUUCAGAGAUGAGAAUGUGCCUUCGGGAACCGUGAGACAGGUGCUGCAUGGCUGUCGUCAGCUCGUGUUGUGAAAUGUUGGGUUAAGUCCCGCAACGAGCGCAACCCUUAUCCUUUGUUGCCAGCGGUCCGGCCGGGAACUCAAAGGAGACUGCCAGUGAUAAA